CUAUCGAUUGGCAAGACACCACAUGACACCAUCUCAUGCCUUGAGCUUGAGAAGGAAGGGAAGACCAGACCAGGACAAUCACAUAGAGUGAGCUCCUCUGAGAUUAUCAGCGUCUGGAAAUGCUUUGUUUUGCCAGGUGUGUGAGUAACACCAGUCUUCUUCUCACCAACUAAAGCAUUGAUUGUUGAACUCUUUCCAACAUUUGGAUAACCAACAAAUCCAACAACAACAUGCUUAGCCACUGAUGAAACAGAAUCAGAGGAAGUGGCUCUGCUGUCCUCUUUGAUGGCUGCGGCCCUCCUUUGUGCUACAAUGAAUUCUGCUUCAGUUUGCAAUUUCUUUAAGAGUUCAUCCCUGCCAUAUAUCUUGGUGUCCAAAUCAAGUGAAGCAGAAUCUUGUUCAGAGUAUCCACUUAAUAUUUUGCCUUCUAAUGUGGCAGUAGCAGCUUUAGCGGACCAGAAAACAUAGAGAAUAUCAUGUGCCUUAAAAUAUGACAUGGCACAAAAGUGUAUACCUGAUAUUCAUUGGUAACAGAUCAGCCUUGUUGACAAGAAUCAUUGUCCUCUUGUGUUCAUCAAUUUCUUUUG
This 587-nucleotide small RNA is filed under the name Oryza sativa Japonica Group (Japanese rice). RNAcentral's name for it is "sRNA Os12g0618333". The record is from RNAcentral. Lineage: Eukaryota; Viridiplantae; Streptophyta; Magnoliopsida; Poales; Poaceae.